UAGGGAAUCUUCGGCAAUGGACGGAAGUCUGACCGAGCAACGCCGCGUGAGUGAAGAAGGUUUUCGGAUCGUAAAGCUCUGUUGUUAGAGAAGAACGCUGGUAGGAGUGGAAAAUCUACCAAGUGACGGUAACUAACCAGAAAGGGACGGCUAACUACGUGCCAGCAGCCGCGGUAAUACGUAGGUCCCGAGCGUUGUCCGGAUUUAUUGGGCGUAAAGCGAGCGCAGGCGGUUCUUUAAGUCUGAAGUUAAAGGCAGUGGCUUAACCAGUGUACGCUUUGGAAACUGGAGGACUUGAGUGCAGAAGGGGAGAGUGGAAUUCCAUGUGUAGCGGUGAAAUGCGUAGAUAUAUGGAGGAACACCGGUGGCGAGAGCGGCUUUCGGGUCUGUACCUGACGCUGAGGCUCGAAAGCGUGGGGAGAAAACAGG
Molecule: ribosomal RNA, 429 nt
Filed under: Bacillota bacterium
Lineage: Bacteria; Bacillati; Bacillota
Description: Firmicutes bacterium partial 16S ribosomal RNA
Rfam family: Bacterial small subunit ribosomal RNA
Source: RNAcentral